This 618-nucleotide long non-coding RNA is filed under the name Homo sapiens (human). RNAcentral's name for it is "novel transcript". Lineage: Eukaryota; Metazoa; Chordata; Mammalia; Primates; Hominidae. The record is from RNAcentral.
GGGCUCUGCUGGCAGAAAGGGGGUCCAUCCUAGGCAUGGGUACUGACACAGGUGACAGCAUCUGCAUACCAGCCAGCUUCUGUGGUGUUUAUGGCCUCUGGACCACAGGUUCCCGCCUCAGCUACACUGGAAUUGCCUCUGCCAUCAAGGGGAAAAAAAUCGGUGACCACGGUGGCUGGCCCCAUGGCCCAGGACGUGGAGAGCCUGGCGCUGUGCCUGCAAGCCCUGCUGAGUGAAGACAUGUACCGACUGGACCCCACUGUGCUCCAGAUGCCCUUUAGGGAGGAGGUGAAGACCCCCUUUCCCACCCCAGGCUGCAGUGAGUGAGAAGCCCACAUGCUCAGUCCAGUUUGUUUCCUUCCCCUGCUGGACACCAGCUGCUUUGGCUUCUUGGCUAUCUGGAGCCAUAGCUUGUAAGUGCCCCCAAAGAGGGCCUCCAGUGCCAUAUACCCAACCCAUGCAGUUAGAAUACUCAGCAAGUGUGGUUGAGAGGGUGUGGCAUCCAGUUAAGCUGGGUUUUUAACCCUCUAGGUAACCCUGGCCAAGUCACAUCUCUUCUUUCAGCCUUAGCCUCCCCAUCAAUACAAUAAAGAGGUUAGGCUGGGAGAUUACUCCACA